Molecule: ribosomal RNA, 495 nt
Filed under: uncultured bacterium
Lineage: Bacteria
Description: bacterial SSU rRNA
Rfam family: Bacterial small subunit ribosomal RNA
Source: RNAcentral
AGGACGAACGCUGGCGGCGUGCCUAAUACAUGCAAGUCGAACGAACUGUGGAAAGCUUGCUUUUCAGAGUUAGUGGCGAACGGGUGAGUAACACGUAAGUAACCUAGCUAUUAGACGAGGAUAACUACUGGAAACGGUAGCUAAGACUGGAUAUGAUAGAAAUAUUUAAAGGAUGCUAAGGCAUCGCUAAUAGAGGGGCUUGCGGCGCAUUAGCUAGUUGGUAGGGUAAAAGCCAACCAAGGCGAUGAUGCGUAGCCGACCUGAGAGGGUGACCGGCCACACUGGGACUGAGACACGGCCCAGACUCCUACGGGAGGCAGCAGUAGGGAAUCUUCGGCAAUGGACGGAAGUCUGACCGAGCAACGCCGCGUGAGUGAAGAAAGUUUUCGGAUUGUAAAGCUCUGUUAUUAGGGAAGAAAGGCUCUAGGAGGAAAUGCUUAGGGAUUGACCGGUACCUAAUGAGGAAGCCACGGCUAACUACGUGCCAGCCGCCGC